UUACGGCCGCACCACGUUGAAAACGCCGGAUCCCGUAAAGAUCUCCGAAGUUAAGCAAAGCCGAGCCAGCCUGGUCAGUAACUUAAUAGGUGACCGCUUGUGAAUACCAGGUGAUGCAAG
This is a non-coding RNA of Acanthosepion pharaonis, 120 nucleotides long. The record is from the annotation of a GenBank genome assembly. NCBI's taxonomy places the organism in Eukaryota, Metazoa, Mollusca, Cephalopoda, Sepiida, Sepiidae.